Non-coding RNA from Drosophila virilis, 2155 nucleotides. NCBI's taxonomy places the organism in Eukaryota, Metazoa, Arthropoda, Insecta, Diptera, Drosophilidae. The record is from Rfam.
CCCCCUGAAUUUAAGCAUAUUAAUUAGGGGAGGAAAAGAAACUAACAAGGAUUUUCUUAGUAGCGGCGAGCGAAAAGAAAUCAGUUCAGCACUAAGUCACUUUGUCUAUAUGGCAAAUGUGAGAUGCAGUGUACGGAACAUCAACAUUCUAGUAUGAGAAGUUAACGAUUUAAGUCCUUCUUAAAUGAGGCCAUUUACCCAUAGAGGGUGCCAGGCCCGUAUAACGUUAAUGAUUACUAGAUGGUGUUUCCAAAGAGUCGUGUUGCUUGAUAGUGCAGCACUAAGUGGGUGGUAAACUCCAUCUAAAACUAAAUAUAACCAUGAGACCGAUAGUAAACAAGUACCGUGAGGGAAAGUUGAAAAGAACUCUGAAUAGAGAGUUAAAUAGUACGUGAAACUGCUUAGAGGUUAAGCCCGAUGAACCUGAAUAUCCGUUGUGGAAAAUUCAUCAUUAGAAUUGUAAUAUUAUAAACAAUAUUAUAAUAAUAGUGUGCAUUUUUCCCAUAAAAGGACAUCUAUUAGCAUAAAUAUUUCUCAUAAAAUUAUGUCUGAUUGCUUAUUUGAAUUAUAUGCUUGGCAUUUUAACGUAAAAUAAAAGAUAUAAAUUUGUUAAAGUGCUAAUAGAUUUAUAUGAUUACAGUGCGUUAAUUUUUCGGAAUUAUAUAAUGGCAUAAUUAUCAUUGAUAUUUGUGCUUAUUAUAUGCAUUUGUAUGAUAAACAAUGCGAAAGAUUCAGGAUACCUUCGGGACCCGUCUUGAAACACUGACCAAGGAGUCUAACAUAUGUGCAAGUUAUUGGGAUAUAAACCUAAUAGCGUAAUUAACUUGACUAUUGAUGAGAUUAGUUUUUAACUAUUUAUAGUUAAUCAAUGCAAUCCCGGGGCGCUCUAUAUAGUUAUGUAUAAUAAUAUAUAUAUUAUUUAUGCCUCUAACUGGAGCGUAUCUUGAGCAUAUAUGCUGUGACCCGAAAGAUGGUGAACUAUACUUGAUCACGUUGAAGUCAUGGGAAACCCUGAUGGAAGACCGAAACAGUUCUGACGUGCAAAUCGAUUGUCAAAAUUGAGUAUAGGGGCGAAAGACCAAUCGAACCAUCUAAUAGCUGGUUCCUUCCGAAGUUUCCUUCAGGAUAGCUGGCCAUUUAAUUGUGGUAUAAAUUAUUCUAAUCUGUUAAAGCGAUUGAUUAGAGCCCUAAGGGUCGAAACGAUCUUAACUUAUUCUCAAACUUUAAAUGGGUAGGACCAUAAACUUUCUUGAUAUGAAGUUUAAGGUUAUGAUAUAAUGUGCCCAGUGGGCCACUUUUGGUAAGCAGAACUGGCGCUGUGGGAUGAACCAAACGUAAUGUUACGGUGCCCAAAUUAACAACUCAUCCAGAAACAAUGAAAGGCGUUGGUUGCUUAAAACAGCAGGACGGUGAUCAUGGAAGUCGAAAUCCGUUAAGGAGUGUGUAACAACUCCCCUGCCGAAGCAACUAGCCCUUAAAAUGGAUGGCGCUUAAGUUGUAUACCUAUACAUUACCGCUAAAGUAGAUGGUUUAUAUUACUUGUAAUAUAAAUUUUGAAACUUUAGUGAGUAGGAAGGUACAAUGCGUGUGCAUAGAAGUGUUUGGCGUAAGCCUGCAUGGAUCCGCUAUUGGUACUUAUCUUGGUGGUAGUAGCAAACAAUCGAAUGAGACCUUGGAGGACUGAACUGGAGAACGGUUUCGUGUGAACCGUGGUUGAUCACGAGUUAGUCGGUCCUAAUUUCAAGGUCGAAAUCCGAAAAUUUUCAAGUUAAGAAAAAUCUAAAUAUAUUUGUCAUCUAACCAAUUUUUAUUCACUUGAAUAAUUUUGAACGAAAGGGCAUACGGUUCCAAUUCCGUAACCUGUUGAGUAUCCGUUUGUUAUUAAAUAUGGGCCUCGUGCUCAUCCUGGCAACAGGAACGACCAUAAAGAAGCCGUCGAGAGGUAUCGGAAGAGUUUUCUUUUCUGUUUUAUAGCCGUACUACCAUGGAAGUCUUUCGCAGAGAGAUAUGGUAGAUGGGCUAGAAGAGCAUGACAUAUACUGUUGUGUCGAUAUUUUCUCCUCGGACCUUGAAAAUUUAUGGUGGGGACACGCAAACUUCUCAACAGGCCGUACCAAUAUCCGCAGCUGGUCUCCAAGGUGAAGAGUCUCUAGUC